RNAcentral lists this transfer RNA (72 nucleotides) under Dreissena polymorpha. RNAcentral describes it as "transfer RNA alanine (anticodon UGC)". It matches the Rfam family "tRNA". Rfam says of the family: Transfer RNA (tRNA) molecules are approximately 80 nucleotides in length. Their secondary structure includes four short double-helical elements and three loops (D, anti-codon, and T loops). The record is from Rfam by way of RNAcentral. Lineage: Eukaryota; Metazoa; Mollusca; Bivalvia; Myida; Dreissenidae.
GGGGAUGUAGCUCAGUGGUAGAGCGCUCGCUUUGCAUGUGAUAGGCCCCGGGUUCAAUCCCCGGCAUCUCCA